AGGAUAAACGCUGGCGGCGUGCCUAACACAUGCAAGUCGAACGCGCUUUCGUCUUCGGAGGAGAGCGAGUGGCGGACGGGUGAGUAACACAUGGGUACCUACCCCACAGUGAGGGAUACCGGCGAGAAAUCGCCGACAAUACCGCAUAGGCUUCUCUUUGGAGACGAGGAGAAGCAAAGUUGCGCAAGCGACGCUGAGGGAUGGGCCUGUGGCCGAUUAGCUAGGUUGGGGGGUAACGGCCUCCCAAGGCUUCGAUCGGUAGCUGGUCUGAGAGGACGAUCAGCCACACUGGGAUUGAGAACGGCCCAGACUCCGUACGGGGGCAGCAGUGAGGAAUUUUCCGCAAUGGAGGCAACUCUGACGGAGCAACGCCGCGUGCGAGGAUGGUAAGGUUUUCGGAUCGUAAACUGUCUUUUCGUCGGGGACGAGCGAAGGACCGGUAACCCGAGGAAGAACGCCCCGGACUAACGUACGUGCCAGCACGCCGAC
RNAcentral lists this ribosomal RNA (489 nucleotides) under uncultured bacterium. Its description in RNAcentral is "SSU rRNA". It matches the Rfam family "Bacterial small subunit ribosomal RNA", at positions 26 to 522 of the family's 1533-position model. The record is from RNAcentral.